CUGAGAACUCAAUUCACUGCUCUCUUCUGGGCAUCAUGAUCCUCAUUUAUAAAAGCAAGGCCUGGCAGCAGAUUCUCUAACUACACAGCUCUUAGCCUACCCGGUUCCCCCCAGGCCCAGCCAAGGGUCUUUGUCGGUCCUGUUUCCAAAGGAGACCCGAGAUUUGGCAAGCCGUCCUGCCCCCAUCUUGCAGAGCUCCAGAGCCUGGCAGCUGGAGGGCCCUUCAGAGCUUUGUCUGCACAGUGUUAGCCAAGAUGGGGUGAAUGUGCUUCCAGACUCAAAGACCUAGUGGUGGGCCCUACUUGCACCUGCCGCAGUGACUGACUCUGACCUUGCUCCUAACCUCUCCAUAGCAAGGAAUAACAAUGCUCACGUCAUGGGCUGAAGAUUACGUGAAAAGCGAGCACACAAUCCUUUCAGUACAUGGCAAGCCGUCGGCGCCCCGAUUCCCUGGCUGUCUCCUUAAGUCAAAGCCUGCAAAUGUUUCUUCCGGGGAAUGCUAGAGGGAAGCAGUAGCAUGCCAAUCCUGAGAAGCAAGGGAUGUAAAAACAACAACAAGAGAAGUCCAGGAUUUCACUUGAGAGAAAGGUUUUUAUUAUCCACCCAGUUUAGCUCCAUAUUCAUCAGCUCUUAAGUGAUCAUGAGUUCUCAACAGAACCCAUACGAGGAAUAAAAGAGAAGAAUAAGACCCUCAAGAAAUUCAUAGUCCAAAAGGAGACCACGGAGUAUGAAAGGGACUACUAGCAAAUAAUGAAAGGCAGUGAAGAAUGGGUGAAUAAUCCAGAGAGAGCCUAGAAGUGAGCAUGUGGAGAGGAGACAAUGGUGUCACAGCUCCCAAUGGCAAUCCCUCACUAGGUCUGUUUUGCUUCCAUGGCUGUUCCUGUGGCCAGAAUCCAACUGAAGUACCAUCUCAUGUUCCACCCCAUCUUCAGCGGCCAUAGUGAAAAUCACAAUGAGCAUGCCACUUGCCGAGUGUGGCACUGUGGACUCAUCCAGGUGGGUCCUCUGGAUAUUUCUUCUGCUUACAGCUUUGGAAAUGAAUAUUAAAAGUAUCAUUAGCCGGUUGGCGGUGGCGCACGCCUUUAAUCUCAGCACUCAGGAGGCAGAGCCAGGUGGAUCUCUGUGAGUUUGAGGCCAGCCUGGUCUACAGACUGAGAUCCAGGAAAAAUGCAAAGCUACACAGAGAAACCCUGUCUCGAAAAAACAACAACAAAUCAAUCAUUCCCUUUGGAGGACCUGAUAUUUUCCCCAUAGCAUUACCCCAAAUGCUUUACUUGGCACCAUGUGAAGGUCCUGUCUUUGACCCCCCCACCCCCACCCCAUGACUCAAAACUCUGGACUGUCAGUCACUGGCGGCCAUACUAAGCAACUGAACACAUGAUUAAAUAAUGGCAUUUGUGUUUCCAUA
Molecule: long non-coding RNA, 1408 nt
Organism: Peromyscus maniculatus bairdii (prairie deer mouse)
Lineage: Eukaryota; Metazoa; Chordata; Mammalia; Rodentia; Cricetidae
Source: RefSeq, a predicted model, not a curated record